GCGGGAGUGGCUCAGUUGGUAGAGCAUCACCUUGCCAAGGUGAGGGUCGCGGGUUCGAGCCCCGUCUCCCGCU
Molecule: transfer RNA, 73 nt
Filed under: Candidatus Pacearchaeota archaeon
Lineage: Archaea; Nanobdellati
Description: tRNA-Gly
Rfam family: tRNA
About the family: Transfer RNA (tRNA) molecules are approximately 80 nucleotides in length. Their secondary structure includes four short double-helical elements and three loops (D, anti-codon, and T loops).
Source: RNAcentral